UUAAAUUUUUUUUUUUAAACCAGCUUUUAUUUGGAAUGGUACAGAGAAGAUAUUGGCCCUGUGCAAGGAUGACACACAAAUUUGGGAAGUGUUCCAUAUUUUU
Molecule: small nuclear RNA, 103 nt
Filed under: Spermophilus dauricus (Daurian ground squirrel)
Lineage: Eukaryota; Metazoa; Chordata; Mammalia; Rodentia; Sciuridae
Source: RNAcentral